Molecule: ribosomal RNA, 931 nt
Filed under: Escherichia coli
Lineage: Bacteria; Pseudomonadati; Pseudomonadota; Gammaproteobacteria; Enterobacterales; Enterobacteriaceae
Description: partial 23S ribosomal RNA
Rfam family: Bacterial large subunit ribosomal RNA
Source: RNAcentral
GGGUUGUGAGGUUAAGCGACUAAGCGUACACGGUGGAUGCCCUGGCAGUCAGAGGCGAUGAAGGACGUGCUAAUCUGCGAUAAGCGUCGGUAAGGUGAUAUGAACCGUUAUAACCGGCGAUUUCCGAAUGGGGAAACCCAGUGUGAUUCGUCACACUAUCAUUAACUGAAUCCAUAGGUUAAUGAGGCGAACCGGGGGAACUGAAACAUCUAAGUACCCCGAGGAAAAGAAAUCAACCGAGAUUCCCCCAGUAGCGGCGAGCGAACGGGGAGGAGCCCAGAGCCUGAAUCAGUGUGUGUGUUAGUGGAAGCGUCUGGAAAGGCGCGCGAUACAGGGUGACAGCCCCGUACACAAAAAUGCACAUGCUGUGAGCUCGAUGAGUAGGGCGGGACACGUGGUAUCCUGUCUGAAUAUGGGGGGACCAUCCUCCAAGGCUAAAUACUCCUGACUGACCGAUAGUGAACCAGUACCGUGAGGGAAAGGCGAAAAGAACCCCGGCGAGGGGAGUGAAAAAGAACCUGAAACCGUGUACGUACAGGCAGUGGGAGCACGCUUAGGCGUGUGACUGCGUACCUUUUGUAUAAUGGGUCAGCGACUUAUAUUCUGUAGCAAGGUUAACCGAAUAGGGGAGCCGAAGGGAAACCGAGUCUUAACUGGGCGUUAAGUUGCAGGGUAUAGACCCGAAACCCGGUGAUCUAGCCAUGGGCAGGUUGAAGGUUGGGUAACACUAACUGGAGGACCGAACCGACUAAUGUUGAAAAAUUAGCGGAUGACUUGUGGCUGGGGGUGAAAGGCCAAUCAAACCGGGAGAUAGCUGGUUCUCCCCGAAAGCUAUUUAGGUAGCGCCUCGUGAAUUCAUCUCCGGGGGUAGAGCACUGUUUCGGCAAGGGGGUCAUCCCGACUUACCAACCCGAUGCAAACUGCGAAUACC